This 253-nucleotide ribosomal RNA is filed under the name uncultured bacterium. RNAcentral describes it as "partial 16S ribosomal RNA". It matches the Rfam family "Bacterial small subunit ribosomal RNA", at positions 524 to 776 of the family's 1533-position model. The record is from RNAcentral.
UACGUAGGGGGCUAGCGUUGUCCGGAUUUAUUGGGCGUAAAGAGCGUGUAGGCGGCCAGAUAGGUCUGCUGUGAAAACUCGAGGCUCAACCUCGAGAUGUCGGCGGAAACCAUUUGGCUAGAGUCCGGAAGAGGAAAGUGGAAUUCCCGGUGUAGCGGUGAAAUGCGUAGAGAUCGGGAAGAACAUCGGUGGCGAAAGCGCUCUACUGGACCGCAACUGACACUGAGGGACGAAAGCUAGGGGAGCGAAUGGG